CAUAGUUUCAAAAUCAGUUGUAGUCAAAACUAAAGAAACACUUGCUGAAUUUGAUAAGAUAAAAAGGCUGAAUCUGUUUCAUGAUAUACAUAGCCAAAAGAUGUAGUUUAUAUACAAAAUACUUCCACCGCCUGGUAUCAGGCUAACUGUUCAUGUAUGAAUAUAAAUUGAUUUUCUGCUUCUAGGGUGUUCCUCACCAACCCGACCACAUUCAGUGCGGCUUUUAUGUCAUACGGUUCAUGCGAGAUAUCAUACAUGAUCAGGAUCACUCUUUUGUGACAAAGGUACAAUCAACUAUUAUUUGUGUUUGUGUUGGGAAUCAGAUUUUCAGGAUAAAGUCAUGUUCAUGUCUAACUUUAACAUUAUGUUUUUCAGUGGGACAGGAGAAACAAACUUGUCUACACCCAAGAUGAUUUGGAUGUGUUAAGGAAUGAGUGGGCAAAGUUCAUCAUCAGCAAAUACUUGUAAGGUGCAUGAUUUGGUCUGUUUUGGUGAACCUGGUGCUUUCUAUAUGUAUGUGGUAGUACUUUGCUUUUGAACUUGGUGUUUCUAUAUAUUCGGAACAUCUAUAUGGUACGAGUACGUACUUUGUGCAUUUCUCAUGUUGGAAUGCUUUUGAACAUGUAAGACUAUCUAGGAGCUUAACUAGUUGCUUGUUUUCAGUUUAUUAUUCAGCUGUAAUGUUGUUUGUGGAAGCUUGAAUGAUAUAUAUGGAAGCUGAAAUGCAAUAUUUUAUGGUAUCAGUCAAUUUGUGCAGCAGUUUCUUUUGUGAUGCUUGUGUGUGUAAAACUUGGACAACAGAGUCUGUCCACAUGAAAAUACAACUGUUGUAUGAUUCUCAUCAAACAAGAAAGCAGAAUGCUAU
This 865-nucleotide long non-coding RNA is filed under the name Fragaria vesca (wild strawberry). RNAcentral's name for it is "long non-coding RNA (FVES_LNC004875)". Lineage: Eukaryota; Viridiplantae; Streptophyta; Magnoliopsida; Rosales; Rosaceae. The record is from RNAcentral.